RNAcentral lists this ribosomal RNA (388 nucleotides) under Salmonella enterica subsp. enterica serovar Ajiobo. RNAcentral's name for it is "partial 23S ribosomal RNA". It matches the Rfam family "Bacterial large subunit ribosomal RNA", at positions 1294 to 1682 of the family's 2925-position model. The record is from RNAcentral. Lineage: Bacteria; Pseudomonadati; Pseudomonadota; Gammaproteobacteria; Enterobacterales; Enterobacteriaceae.
AUGCUGACAUAAGUAACGAUAAAGCGGGUGAAAAGCCCGCUCGCCGGAAGACCAAGGGUUCCUGUCCAACGUUAAUCGGGGCAGGGUGAGUCGACCCCUAAGGCGAGGCCGAAAGGCGUAGUCGAUGGGAAACGGGUUAAUAUUCCCGUACUUGGUGUUACUGCGAAGGGGGGACGGAGAAGGCUAUGUUGGCCGGGCGACGGUUGUCCCGGUUUAAGCGUGUAGGUGUGUGUUCCAGGUAAAUCCGGUUCACUUUAACACUGAGGCGUGACGACGAGGCACUACGGUGCUGAAGCAACAAAUGCCCUGCUUCCAGGAAAAGCCUCUAAGCAUCAGGUAACAUCAAAUCGUACCCCAAACCGACACAGGUGGUCAGGUAGAGAAUACC